RNAcentral lists this ribosomal RNA (468 nucleotides) under uncultured bacterium. Its description in RNAcentral is "partial 16S ribosomal RNA". It matches the Rfam family "Bacterial small subunit ribosomal RNA", at positions 28 to 507 of the family's 1533-position model. The record is from RNAcentral.
GACGAACGCUGGCGGCGUGCUUAACACAUGCCAGUCGAACGGAAAGGCCCUGCUUUUGUGGGGUGCUCGAGUGGCGAACGGGUGAGUAACACGUGAGUAACCUGCCCUUGACUUUGGGAUAACUUCAGGAAACUGGGGCUAAUACCGGAUAGGAGCUCCUGCUGCAUGGUGGGGGUUGGAAAGUUUCGGCGGUUGGGGAUGGACUCGCGGCUUAUCAGCUUGUUGGUGGGGUAGUGGCUUACCAAGUCUUUGACGGGUAGCCGGCCUGAGAGGGUGACCGGCCACAUUGGGACUGAGAUACGGCCCAGACUCCUACGGGAGGCAGCAGUGGGGAAUAUUGCACAAUGGGCGGAAGCCUGAUGCAGCAACGCCGCGUGCGGGAUGACGGCCUUCGGGUUGUAAACCGCUUUCGCCUGUGACGAAGCGUGAGUGACGGUAAUGGGUAAAGAAGCACCGGCUAACUACGUG